GUUCUCUCCCCUGGAGGCCACUACAGAUGGUCGUGCUGGACAUUCAGUGCACCAGGGGCCGGGCUGAGCCCGAGUGGGGCUGAGCAGUCUCUCAACCUGUCCUCUGCUCACCAAGCCGGAGCCCCGGUGCGGGGCUGCACCUGCCACCAAGGCACACACCUGUGCGCUCCGCCAUCCAAGUAGAAUCCAGUAGCAGCCAUCUUGGGGCCAUGAGAGCAGCCAGCCUAUGAGGAAACGACAACACACUGAGGUGGCAGAGCAGAAGGAAGGAAAGAAACUGAGUCCUUCCUGACACCGUUGAGAUGCUGAAUUAACACGUCCUGCCCACUAAAGCACCCUCCAAUAAAUCUUCUGCAUACAAAACUCCAUCUGAGCAUAUUUCCAGGGAACCCAGCAUAAAGACACUUAAUUUUUGAGACAAGGACACUCAGGCCUAAAGAGAUAAAGUUAAUACCCAAACUAGAGCUUGGAAUCUCAUACGCUGCCACGUG
Molecule: long non-coding RNA, 491 nt
Filed under: Equus caballus (horse)
Lineage: Eukaryota; Metazoa; Chordata; Mammalia; Perissodactyla; Equidae
Description: lncRNA (ENSECAG00000046024.1)
Source: RNAcentral